Molecule: ribosomal RNA, 286 nt
Filed under: uncultured bacterium
Lineage: Bacteria
Description: partial 16S ribosomal RNA
Rfam family: Bacterial small subunit ribosomal RNA
Source: RNAcentral
GACGAACGCUGGCGGCGUGCUUAACACAUGCAAGUCGAGCGGUAAGGCCCUUUCGGGGGUACGACGAGCGGCGAACGGGUGAGUAACACGUGGGUGGACCUGCCCUCCAGCUCUGGGAGUAAGCCUGGGAAACCGGGUACUAAUACUGGAUAUGACUCCAUGACGCAUGUUGUGGGGUGGAAAGCCUUGUGCGGCUGAGGAUGGGCCCGCGGCCUAUCAGCUUGUUGGUGGGGUGAGGCCUACCAAGGCGACGACGGGUAGCCGGCCUGAGAGGGCGACCGGCCAC